Molecule: ribosomal RNA, 373 nt
Filed under: uncultured organism
Description: partial 16S ribosomal RNA
Rfam family: Bacterial small subunit ribosomal RNA
Source: RNAcentral
GGAGGGGUGCAAGCGUUGUUCGGAAUUAUUGGGCGUAAAGAGUAUGUAGGGCGGUUCGGUAAGUCAGAUGUGAAAGCCCUGGGCUCAACCCAGGAAGUGCAUUUGAAACUACCAGACUUGAGCACGGGAGAGGAGGGGGGAAUUCCCGGUGUAGAGGUGAAAUUCGUAGAUAUCGGGAGGAAUACCAGUGGCGAAGGCGCCCCUCUGGACCGAUACUGACGCUGAGACGCGAAAGCGUGGGGAGCAAACAGGAUUAGAUACCCUGGUAGUCCACGCCGUAAACGAUGAGCACUAGGUGUAGCGGGUAUUGACCCCUGCUGUGCCGUAGCUAACGCAUUAAGUGCUCCGCCUGGGGACUACGGUCGCAAGACUA